This 74-nucleotide transfer RNA is filed under the name Bacteriophage sp. RNAcentral describes it as "tRNA-Met". It matches the Rfam family "tRNA". From Rfam's summary of the family: Transfer RNA (tRNA) molecules are approximately 80 nucleotides in length. Their secondary structure includes four short double-helical elements and three loops (D, anti-codon, and T loops). The record is from RNAcentral.
AGCAGGAUAGUGAAACGGAUAAUCACACAAGGUUCAUACCCUUGGAAUAAUGGGUUCGACUCCCGUGUCUGCUA